RNAcentral lists this microRNA precursor (84 nucleotides) under Canis lupus familiaris (dog). Its description in RNAcentral is "mir-8799 microRNA precursor family". It matches the Rfam family "mir-8799 microRNA precursor family". RNAcentral also lists the same sequence under 1 other name. The record is from Rfam by way of RNAcentral. Lineage: Eukaryota; Metazoa; Chordata; Mammalia; Carnivora; Canidae.
AGGGGAGAGCAGGAUCCUGGGCUGUGUCCCCCGGCGCCCUGGGCUCACUGCUGGAAUCGCGCUCCCGGGGCCGCGCAGCCCCCU